GACGAACGCUGGCGGCGUGCUUAACACAUGCCAGUCGAACGGAAAGGCCCUGCUUUUGUGGGGUGCUCGAGUGGCGAACGGGUGAGUAACACGUGAGUAACCUGCCCUUGACUUUGGGAUAACUUCAGGAAACUGGGGCUAAUACCGGAUAGGAGCUCCUGCUGCAUGGUGGGGGUUGGAAAGUUUCGGCGGUUGGGGAUGGACUCGCGGCUUAUCAGCUUGUUGGUGGGGUUGUGGCUUACCAAGGCUUUGACGGGUAGCCGGCCUGAGAGGGUGACCGGCCACAUUGGGACUGAGAUACGGCCCAGACUCCUACGGGAGGCAGCAGUGGGGAAUAUUGAACAAUGGGCGGAAGCCUGAUGCAGCAACGCCGCGUGCGGGAUGACGGCCUUCGGGUUGUAAACCGCUUUCGCCUGUGACGAAGCGUGAGUGACGGUAAUGGGUAAAGAAGCACCGGCUAACUACGUG
RNAcentral lists this ribosomal RNA (468 nucleotides) under uncultured bacterium. RNAcentral's name for it is "partial 16S ribosomal RNA". It matches the Rfam family "Bacterial small subunit ribosomal RNA", at positions 28 to 507 of the family's 1533-position model. The record is from RNAcentral.